Molecule: ribosomal RNA, 801 nt
Filed under: uncultured Campylobacterales bacterium
Lineage: Bacteria; Pseudomonadati; Campylobacterota; Epsilonproteobacteria; Campylobacterales
Description: bacterial SSU rRNA
Rfam family: Bacterial small subunit ribosomal RNA
Source: RNAcentral
GUCGAACGAGAACGGGUUAUAGCUUGCUAUAAUUGUCAGCUAAGUGGCGCACGGGUGAGUAAUGUAUAGGUAAUAUGCCUUUUACUAAGGGAUAACAGAUGGAAACGUUUGCUAAUACCUUAUACUCCGUUUAUGUAUAAAUGUAAAUGGGAAAGAUUUAUCGGUAAGAGAUUGGCCUGUAUUGUAUCAGUUAGUUGGUGGGGUAAUGGCCUACCAAGACAAUGACGCAUAACUGGUUUGAGAGGAUGAUCAGUCACGCUGGAACUGAGACACGGUCCAGACUCCUACGGGAGGCAGCAGUGGGGAAUAUUGCACAUGGACGGAAGUCUGAUGCAGCAACGCCGCGUGGAGGAUGACACAUUUCGGUGCGUAAACUCCUUUUAUAUAAGAAGAUAAUGACGGUAAUAUAUGAAUAAGCACCGGCUAACUCCGUGCCAGCAGCCGCGGUAAUACGGGGGGUGCAAGCGUUACUCGGAAUCACUGGGCGUAAAGAGCAUGUAGGCGGAUUGAUAAGUUUGAAGUGAAAUCCUAUAGCUUAACUAUAGAACUGCUUUGAAAACUGUUAAUCUAGAAUGUGGGAGAGGUAGAUGGAAUUUCUGGUGUAGGGGUAAAACCCGUAGAGAUCAGAAGGAAUACCGAUUGCGAAGGCGAUCUACUAGAACACUAUUGACGCUGAGAUGCGAAAGCGUGGGGAGCAAACAGGAUUAGAUACCCUGGUAGUCCACGCCCUAAACGAUGUACACUAGUUGUUGUGAGACUAGAUCUUGCAGUAAUGCAGUUAACACAUUAAGUGUACCGCCU